Molecule: ribosomal RNA, 953 nt
Filed under: Portiera endosymbiont of Bemisia tabaci
Lineage: Bacteria; Pseudomonadati; Pseudomonadota; Gammaproteobacteria; Johnevansiales (SeqCode); Johnevansiaceae (SeqCode)
Description: bacterial SSU rRNA
Rfam family: Bacterial small subunit ribosomal RNA
Source: RNAcentral
GUGGGGAACAACGUACGGAAACGUACGCUAAUACCGCAUAAUUCUUACGAGAUAAAGCAGGGGAUUGAUUAAAUAUCAACCUUGCGCUUUUAGAUAAUUCCAUGCCGGAUUAGCUAGUUGGUAGAGUAAAAGCCUACCAAGGUUACGAUCCGUAGCUGGUCUGAGAGGAUGAUCAGCCACACUGGGACUGAGAUACGGCCCAGACUCCUACGGGAGGCAGCAGUGGGGAAUAUUGGACAAUGGGGGAAACCCUGAUCCAGUCAUGCCGCGUGUGUGACGAAGGCCUUUGGGUUGUAAAGCACUUUCAGCGAGGAAUAAAAAUUAUAAAAUAAAAAGUUAUAAUUAUGACUGUACUCGCAGAAGAAGCACCGGCUAACUCCGUGCCAGCAGCCGCGGUAAAACGGAGGGUGCAAGCGUUAAUCAGAAUUACUGGGCGUAAAGGGCAUGUAGGUGGUUUAUUAAGCUUUAUGUGAAAUCCCUAUGCUUAACAUAGGAACUGUAUAAAGAACUGACAAACUAGAGUGCAGAAGAGGAAGGUAGAAUUCCAGGUGUAGCGGUGAAAUGCGUAGAUAUCUGGAGGAAUACCAGUGGCGAAGGCGACCUUCUGGGCUGACACUGACACUGAGAUGCGAAAGCGUGGGGAGCAAACAGGAUUAGAUACCCUGGUAGUCCACGCUGUAAACGAUAUCAACUAGCCGUUUGAUUCUUAAAGAAUUUUGUGGCGUAGCUAACGCGAUAAGUUGAUCGCCUGGGGAGUACGGUCGCAAGGCUAAAACUCAAAUGAAUUGACGGGGGCCCGCACAAGCGGUGGAGCAUGUGGUUUAAUUCGAUGCAACGCGCAGAACCUUACCUACUCUUGACAUCCAAAGUACUUUACAGAGAUGUAAAGGUGCCUUAGGGAACUUUGAGACAGGUGCUGCAUGGCUGUCGUCAGCUCGUGUUGUGAAAUGUUG